GAACGCUAGCGGCAGGCUUAACACAUGCAAGUCGAGGGGCAGCAUGAUGAAACUUUCGGGUUUCAUUGAUGGCGACCGGCGCAAGGGUGCGUAACGCGUGAGCAACUUGCCCUUAUCAGGGGGAUAACCGGUGGAAACGCCGACUAAUACCCCAUAGCAUCACUUUAAGGCAUCUUUUAGUGAUUAAAGAAUUUCGGAUAAGGAUAGGCUCGCGUGACAUUAGCUAGAUGGCGGGGUAACGGCCCACCAUGGCGACGAUGUCUAGGGGUUCUGAGAGGAAGGUCCCCCACACUGGAACUGAGACACGGUCCAGACUCCUACGGGAGGCAGCAGUGAGGAAUAUUGGUCAAUGGCCGAGAGGCUGAACCAGCCAUGCCGCGUGAAGGUCACGGCCCUAUGGGUCUUAAACUUCUUUUGUAAGGGAGCAAUAAGGUUCACGUGUGGACUGAUGAGAGUACCUUACGAAUAAGCAUCGGCUAACUCCGUG
This 487-nucleotide ribosomal RNA is filed under the name uncultured bacterium. RNAcentral describes it as "bacterial SSU rRNA". It matches the Rfam family "Bacterial small subunit ribosomal RNA", at positions 31 to 507 of the family's 1533-position model. The record is from RNAcentral.